UUGUCUAGUGUUUAAAGAUAGUCGGCAAAACCUUCAUCCAUUCCGAAUUGAAGUGUUAAACGAUUAUCCCAUAACGAUACUCUAAGAGCCAUCUUUGGGAAAAAUAGUGGAAUGCUAGAUAU
This 122-nucleotide ribosomal RNA is filed under the name Bryopsis sp. HV04063. Lineage: Eukaryota; Viridiplantae; Chlorophyta; Ulvophyceae; Bryopsidales; Bryopsidaceae. The record is from RNAcentral.